GAUGAACGCUGGCGGCGUGCCUAAUACAUGCAAGUCGAGCGAACAGACGAGGAGCUUGCUCCUCUGACGUUAGCGGCGGACGGGUGAGUAACACGUGGAUAACCUACCUAUAAGACUGGGAUAACUUCGGGAAACCGGAGAUAAUACCGGAUAAUAUAUUGAACCGCAUGGUUCAAUAGUGAACGACGGUUUUGCUGUCACUUAUAGAUGGAUCCGCACCGCAUUAGCUAGUUGGUAAGGUAACGGCUUACCAAGGCAACGAUGCGUAGCCGACCUGAGAGGGUGAUCGGCCACACUGGAACUGAGACACGGUCCAGACUCCUACGGGAGGCAGCAGUAGGGAAUCUUCCGCAAUGGGCGAAAGCCUGACGGAGCAACGCCGCGUGAGUGAUGAAGGUCUUCGGAUCGUAAAACUCUGUUAUUAGGGAAGAACAAAUGUGUAAGUAACUAUGCACGUCUUGACGGUACCUAAUCAGAAAGCCACGGCUAACUACGUG
Molecule: ribosomal RNA, 497 nt
Filed under: uncultured bacterium
Lineage: Bacteria
Description: partial 16S ribosomal RNA
Rfam family: Bacterial small subunit ribosomal RNA
Source: RNAcentral